GAGGGUAUAGCUCAGUGGUAGCGUGUGUGCUUAGCAUGCAUGAGGUUCUGGGUUCAAUCCCCAGUGUCUCCA
RNAcentral lists this transfer RNA (72 nucleotides) under Camelus bactrianus (Bactrian camel). It matches the Rfam family "tRNA". Rfam says of the family: Transfer RNA (tRNA) molecules are approximately 80 nucleotides in length. Their secondary structure includes four short double-helical elements and three loops (D, anti-codon, and T loops). RNAcentral also lists the same sequence under 1 other name. The record is from Rfam by way of RNAcentral. Lineage: Eukaryota; Metazoa; Chordata; Mammalia; Artiodactyla; Camelidae.